UGGGGAAUAUUGGACAAUGGGCGAAAACCUGAUCCAGCCAUGCCGCGUGUGUGAAGAAGGUCUUCGGAUUGUAAUGCACUUUAAGUUGGGAGGAAGGGCAGUAAGCGAAUACCUUGCUGUUUUGACGUUACCGACAGAAUAAGCACCGGCUAACUCUGUGCCAGCAGCCGCGGUAAUACAGAGGGUGCAAGCGUUAAUCGGAAUUACUGGGCGUAAAGCGCGCGUAGGUGGUUCGUUAAGUUGAAUGUGAAAGCCCCGGGCUCAACCUGGGAACUGCAACCAAAACUGGCGAGCUAGAGUAGGGCAGAGGGUGGGGGAAUUUCCUGUGUAGCGGUGAAAUGCGUAGAUAUAGGAAUGAACACAAGUGGCGAAGGCGAACACCUGGGCUCAUACUGACACUGAGGUGCGAAAGCGUGGGGAGCAAACAGG
This 429-nucleotide ribosomal RNA is filed under the name Pseudomonadota bacterium. RNAcentral describes it as "Proteobacteria bacterium partial 16S ribosomal RNA". It matches the Rfam family "Bacterial small subunit ribosomal RNA", at positions 355 to 776 of the family's 1533-position model. The record is from RNAcentral. Lineage: Bacteria; Pseudomonadati; Pseudomonadota.